This 456-nucleotide ribosomal RNA is filed under the name uncultured Syntrophus sp. RNAcentral's name for it is "bacterial SSU rRNA". It matches the Rfam family "Bacterial small subunit ribosomal RNA", at positions 927 to 1382 of the family's 1533-position model. The record is from RNAcentral. Lineage: Bacteria; Pseudomonadati; Thermodesulfobacteriota; Syntrophia; Syntrophales; Syntrophaceae.
AAGCGGUGGAGCAUGUGGUUAAUUCGAUGCAACGCGAAGAACCUUACCUGGGCCUUGACAUCCCGGGAAUCCCUUGGAAACAAGGGAGUGCCCUUCGGGGAACCUGGAGACAGGUGCUGCAUGGCUGUCGUCAGCUCGUGUCGUGAGAUGUAGGGUUAAGUCCCGUAACGAGCGCAACCCUUGUCUUUAAUUGCCAUCAUUGAGUUGGGCACUUUAAAGAGACUGCCGGUGUUAAACCGGAGGAAGGUGGGGAUGACGUCAAGUCCUCAUGGCCUUUAUGCCCAGGGCUACACACGUGCUACAAUGGGUGGUACAAAGGGAGGCGAAGGGGUGACCUGGAGCGAAACCCAAAAAUACAGUCUCAGUUCGGAUUGAAGUCUGCAACUCGACUUCAUGAAGUCGGAAUCGCUAGUAAUCGCGGAUCAGAACGCCACGGUGAAUACGUUCUCGGGGUUU